This is a long non-coding RNA of Mus pahari (shrew mouse), 3197 nucleotides long. RefSeq lists it as uncharacterized. NCBI's taxonomy places the organism in Eukaryota, Metazoa, Chordata, Mammalia, Rodentia, Muridae. The transcript is spliced from 4 exons. The record is from RefSeq and is a predicted model, not a curated record.
CCUUUGCCCGUCUAGAGGAGGGGGCCUAGUACAGCCUCUGAGCCCUCCUUUGGCAAAGCAGACGUAGUGGUUGUCCUGGUAACCAGGGGGGUGGGUCGCUGCCUUGCCAAAGGGAUUGAAGUUCAGUCGGGCCAAAGGGGAAAGUGGUCUAGCCACUUCACCGGAUCCACGCCAGGGCUUGCCAAUCCACUGGAUUCUCCCCGGACCAAUCUCUGCGACUCGGUGAAGUGCCCUUCCAGUGGGGACUAGGCUUAGAGCUGUACCCUCGCCUCUUAGAUCUGCUCUCCAAUGCACGACUCAAGUCUCCGAAAGUCCGCUUCUGGCCGCCAGCCCCUUUCCCUACGGCAAGCUUGGAAGCUAGGGAGCGCCUCAGGAGUCUGCGCGUUUAUGGCAGUGCGGACUAGCUCUAGGGAUGGCAGCUGGUCUACAGAACUGCACAUCUAUGCUGAACAGGCUAAUCCUACUCAAGACUUGACCAGUUCCAGCUUUGAGCCACGUGAAGGCCAACUGCCCUGAGAUGAUGAGCUCCUGCUUCCAAAUUGGUUUGUUUUGUUUUUGCCUUUUAAAAACCGUCUUGAGUUUAUUAUGGCCAAAGGCUAGGUGAGCGGGGAACCUGCUCAUAGCCGACCUUGAGAAAUGUAGGCAGAACGUCCAUUGGCAGCAGAGAGCUGAGGAAGUGUUGGGCUGAGCCUUACAAGAGAUGCUGCAGCAGAAGCCUGAGCUCUCCCUUCUGAUGGCUGGCUGGGAAGUCAGGUGAGUGUGGACUUCAGAGCCUGGAAGGAGGCCAAGGCCAUGGUGGGAAGUGUCUGUUGUUCAAGUAUAGCUGGGCCUUCAUCUAUGGGGCUUAGGCUGUAACCUCACUUCACAUAAUCUGGUAUUGUUGGGACCAGAACCAUCCCACAACUAUGUGUGGCUACACCUAGCCCUCAGGCUAGGGCAAUCUCCAGAGGGAUCCCAUGACCUUCUGUUUCCAGAUUCCCAGACAGAAUGGACAGGUGAGUGGCCCUCUGCUUCUUGAGAGGGCUGGAGCCGGUGUGUGAACACAGCCACCUGUUGGCCAUGGUUGGUAUUGCCACAGGCAGUGCUCAGGUGAGAGGGGUUGCUAGCCUUACCGGAUCAGCGGUCUAGAAACUGGAUGUUAAGUCUCACUGGAAGCCACUCUCAUGUGCAGGGUCUACAAAUAACUUUUAUUGAAAUUGAACAAAUAACACAACAGUCUUCCAGUGCUGGGGAUCACUCGCCCCAAGCCAUUUCCCACACUCUAGAAGCACAGAGCUUCCACAAGGAAGUAUUUUUUUUUUAAAGCCAUCUCUGUAUAGAAAUCAGACUCUGCCCCAACAUUAUCAUAGUCUAGACUAUUUACAAACCUUCACAUUUUAAUUACGCCUUUUAUGUAUUUUUCCCCUCCUUUCUAUCCUUACCAAGGAGCUCCAGUACUUUCCCUUAACAGACCCUGAAGGGGUAAAGAUACUGUAGGAGAGAGGGGAUGGGCUCCUCAUAGCUACUGGCACCAGCCCCAGUCCUUUCUUACCACUAGGUGGUGGACUGCCUUUCCCCUACAACUGGGGAUUUGUGGGACUGGUGCAAAGACAAGGGAGACGACGGAACAUGUGGUUUGGGGCAAGUCCCCACAGGUACAGGCGUCGGUAGCCUGUCCUGACCCCGGCCUGUACCCUCUCAACUUGAGGGCAACUGGUUGAAAUCAAGGGAGAUCAUUCCAGCCCUGGGUGAGAGGAGAAGCCUCCCACAGGUCCCCCAUUCUUAGUGAACAGCCAGCAAAGUGUCCAGCUUAAGAGCGGGAGCACGUAGUAGGUAGGCAGGAAGGGUGAGGCUGGUACAUAUCUCCAGUCUGUCCGAUACAGGAGGAAUCGAGGUAGCAAACGGCUGAAAUGCUCUGACUAGGGGGGAAGGGGAGUGAGGGAAAAGGAAGUUCCCACUUGGGUAGAGCCCCUACAGCCCAGGGGCCGGAAGAAGGCAGACUCUGCUUGUAAAGUGCUGUAGCUUCUAGGAGGGCUGGGCCCUAGGCAAGCCUGGAAGAAAGCAGGUCAGGCAGGUAACCAGGAACCAGGCAUUCCUGACCGGCAUGUGUCUCCUGCCAUGCUUCUCGCACAAGCAGCUGGGGGAGAUGGGCUGGUAGUUCUGUCAUUAGCCCUCACCAGCCACCAACCACUUAAUUGUUCAGACAUCAACCAAUACCAGUUAACACUGAGGGACUGCCCCUCUUACAACUGAAGGUUCUGGGCCAAUGGAGUUUAGUUUAUUCAAGGUUGUGGCACCAGCCUGGACUCCUGAAUGGAAGCUACACCUUGAUCCUGGGAGUUUCUUGCUGGGGCAGUGGGUGCUCGUGUCUGCCAUGCCACACGCAGAUUCAUACUUCAUAGAGGAUCACAGGGAAAUCCACGUGGAUUCGGGGAGGAUCCAGCUUCACGAUGCCCUGCCAUGGAAACAGAGGCUAGCGAAGAUCAGCUCUGGGCCUCUAUGCUAAGAGCCUCUCUGUUCUUCCCAGCUCUUCCCCCAGAAAGCCCCAUCUGUAUCCCCGUUGACAUACUGAUGUAAGGCUUUAUGAUCACUGCUCAGCCCCUCACCUGAGGAAUCAGAUUCUUAUGUACCCGCCUCAGCUUGGCUCGCUUCUGCCCAUUCUUUGUGACGAUUGUCUCCUCAUAGAAUUCGUGAGCCAGAUCUCCAUCUUCAUCAUAGAACAUGGAGCUGUGUAGAGAAGGGAAACAGGCUGGAUUGGAGCCUCAUACCUGGCCUUGGCAAGUGCCACAGACCACAGGGAAGUAUGCUGAACCCCAAGAGAAGACACAAUGACACUAUUCUCGGAGGUCCAACUUCACAGCGAGGAAGGCAAGACAUCUAAACAGAAGGUCACUUUCCCUUAGAUUGCUUCUAAGGCUUAGAAGAACAGAAGGAACAUAAAUGCCUUUAAUUUGCAGGCUGAGUUGGAUGAAAGGAGGUCUUAAGGCUCUCAGAGGCCGUCUCAGCUGAAUUAUGGAGCUGCUCCCUAAGAGACAAACCUCAGCCAAUUCUCUAAAAGGACCAUCUGGGCGGUCAAGAGCUGAACGCCGCUUGGUUUUCCCUUCUCCUUGCUUUGACUGGGACCCAAAAUAUGACAGUCGUCUGAUUCAAAUGUAGGGGGGCGUUUCUCGUUCCCGGAUGUCCUCCCAAAGGCAGAUGCCCAUGCCCUUACCCGCGGC